CGGGAACUGAAAUGGGUGACGCUGGCGGCGGGCCUACCUGCUCUCGAGCGCAGGUGACGUGCUGGCCCCUUCUCUGGGCGGUCGACGGAUGGGUCGGGCUUAGGAUGCUGCCUAUUUAUGGAACCUGCCCUCCCGUCUGGAAUGCUCAUACCGAAUCCGUCCUACGACAGAAAGGGUGGUAUCUUCGGACGUUGCGCUAAUGAAUGGCCCUCCGUCGGAUUCUGGGUUGGCUUUGCGGUGGCCUACCUAGUUGGUGUCUUAAUGGCCCACCGAGAGGAUGAUCCGCCACCCUGCUACUGAGACGAUCCCCCAACUCGUACCUGAGGCACCGCCGGGACACCUUCGACAGGGGGGGAUACCCUGUCCUCCCCAUGGGACGUGUGUCUGAAAGGCCUUAUGGUUGUGAACCAUUUUAGCCUACGAGGAGGAUACUGAUAUUAAAACUCAAGAACAGUUGACGUUACUCGCGGAGUAACCUCGGCGUAACUCUGUGCCAACGCCCGGGGUAAUAAAGAGCGUGCGAGCGUUAUAAUAGAUUUACUGGGCGUAAAGCGUGCGUAUUAUUUCUUUUUAAGUCGCGAUGUGAGAUCCCUCAUAUUAAUUAGGUGAAUGCCUUCGACUCUGCGAAGCUGGGCCUAUUGGGAAACUGUGAGUAUAUGUCCAUGUGUAACGAGAGAAGUACUUCAUAGAUCUAGGAGGUAAUACCGCGUGGCAGAUGUGGACGAACUGGCACUGGUAGUGGGCGCUGCUGUACGCCUAUAUGUGGCAGCUAAAGGCGCAUAAGAUGCGCUGGGUAAACCAUGAUGUAAUCCAUGUCUACUCCUCGCUUGAAGCAUGGGUGCUUUGUUGGUGGCAGGCUUAUCCCCCUAUUAUGGCUGCAGGUACGCAUGAGCGCUCCUUCAGGACGAGAC
RNAcentral lists this ribosomal RNA (911 nucleotides) under Acinetobacter sp. HPC968. Its description in RNAcentral is "partial 16S ribosomal RNA". Lineage: Bacteria; Pseudomonadati; Pseudomonadota; Gammaproteobacteria; Moraxellales; Moraxellaceae. The record is from RNAcentral.